Molecule: unclassified non-coding RNA, 22 nt
Filed under: Mus musculus (house mouse)
Lineage: Eukaryota; Metazoa; Chordata; Mammalia; Rodentia; Muridae
Description: oocyte_clustered_small_RNA3162
Source: RNAcentral
UAUCUCCGGCUUGAGAAAUGAC